GAAACGCUGUUACGCGUGACGCUUUCAACGUCAACUUUAAUGAAUAAAUCUGUGUGUCAUGGUACUGGAACUUUGUGAUCUUUUUUAAAACAGAUUAUACCUAUGGAAAAAGUGCCUUUAAUUCAAAUUUGAAGGGGUUGGGUUCCCUUAUAGGUUACAUUAUCCUAAACGGAAGUGGAAUUUGGGGGGUUACAUGCAGUCGGUUUGCUACUUAGUACAUAUGAUGCAGGUCCUGGUGCAUAAGAUUUUAAAAAUGUAUCUGAAAUGAAGAGUUUAGGUGUCAGUUUAAAGGUACAUGUGUAAGUCACAGGGCAAAAGGCCUGAUUUGUGCAUUUCUUUGUAUGUUAGUGGUUGCCAGCCUCAAUAGUAGGGCAUGGUUUUUGCCUUCAAAUGGCAGUGCCGGUAGCUGUCAAAACCGGUUCAUAUGCUCUAAGGUAAUUAUUUUGAGUUACACCGUAUAGAAUUUUUUCAAAUGCAGUUUUUUUGUAAGUUUAUGAAACCACCUUUCCAGUCAUGUAUAGUUAUAUAUUGGCUUAUCGCUCGGUCAUGGUGAAAUUUGAGAUCAAAGAUUGCGAAUUCUAUAUAUAACAAAGAAGGAAAUUAAUUGGGCAUGUGUAACCUUUAAGAACUUCCGACCAAGUUAGUCGUCUUCCAGAAUGUUGACAAUUUACCAUCAAAAACUCUCUGUAUUGCAAAACAUAACUACCAGAUGUCAUUUUGACCCAAUUAAGGGCUGUUUGCAAUUGGGCUGUUGCACUUGGGGUCCUAAGGGGGGUAAAUGCUUGAAAAUCACUCCGAAACCUGUUCCGAAGACACAUUCUAAGACUACGUAAACACUCGGUAUUGUUUUUCAGUGACAUUUUGACAUUAAUUUGCAUCAAUCUCAAUAAUGAACCUAAUUCCUGUCUUUAUUUCAUCUGUAUUUAUUGCUAUUGUUUACUUUUAGCCUUUUACUAUUUAAAAUGUAAUGUGUGUUGUUUUUCCAUGCAAGCAAUUUUGGACCGACACUGCUAUCUGCCUUCGCUUUCAAUCCCGCCAGGCAGAUCUACUCAGAAUAACACUACUUUGCCUUAUUUUUCCUGUUUGGAUAUCUUGCUGAGUUCAAGUUAAAUCAAGUAUUCAGCUGAAAACACAAAAAGGAUAAUAAUAUUAUGCUUUCUUUCUUGGAACGAUGUUGUUGUGAUAGACCGUGCGUGAAAAACAGCAGGGAAUCUGUAUUUAAGUGACCUCAAUAUUAUACGUAAACCUAAAUGUACAUUUUUAGGUGGUGUCGGAAUUAGUCUAUAGCUCUGCCUGAACUGCUGUCCAAUUGGUUUACAAGUCCGGCUGAAGUGACAGGCCAUCAAAAACUGCACAGUAUGACUGAUUCGGAGACGGCCCUCAACACUCGCCCAGUCGUGUCGAGAGGAUCGGUGUCUUUGCAGAUUACACGGAAUUGAGCACCCGGGCCAGACUGACACUUUCCGGAGCCUGUCCGAGACGGAACUCGAGCCGAGGAAUCAUAGGUCCAGGUGUGACAGAAAACUUAAAGCUCAUGUCUGACGAUGACUUUUUUUGCGUCAGGAAGUAAAGUGUGUUGUUUUCCCAUGCAAGCAAGCCCUUUUGUUGGGUCAAAUGACAUCAGAAAUGCUGCUUCUACAUGGAUUUUACCUAAAAUGUGCCAAAAAAUAUAUAAAAAGUUUGUUCGGAUCUUGUUCAAAACCUGCUAUGAUGCACAUAUAAUGCCAUUGAUGAUUUGUUUUCACUUAUUAAGUCAUAUGUUACAUCUGCUAUGCUAUUAGAAUCGAAAGUGAUGCCUUGUAUGGAGUCUAAGUGCUGUCUGUAUGAUGUAACCAAGGUCGGCUUUUCUACCUUAAUUCUUGACGCGAAACGCUGUUACGCGUGACGCUUUCAACGUCAACUUUAAUGAAUAAAUCUGUGUGUCAUGGUA
Molecule: long non-coding RNA, 1930 nt
Organism: Dreissena polymorpha
Lineage: Eukaryota; Metazoa; Mollusca; Bivalvia; Myida; Dreissenidae
Exons: 2
Source: RefSeq, a predicted model, not a curated record